AUUACUCCUACGGGAGGCAGCAGUGAGGAAUAUUGGUCAAUGGGUGCAAGCCUGAACCAGCCAUCCCGCGUGAAGGAUUAAGGUCCUAUGGAUUGUAAACUUCUUUUGUAUAGGGAUAAACCUACCCUCGUGAGGGUAGCUGAAGGUACUAUACGAAUAAGCACCGGCUAACUCCGUGCCAGCAGCCGCGGUAAUAAU
RNAcentral lists this ribosomal RNA (198 nucleotides) under uncultured bacterium. RNAcentral describes it as "partial 16S ribosomal RNA". It matches the Rfam family "Bacterial small subunit ribosomal RNA", at positions 332 to 526 of the family's 1533-position model. The record is from RNAcentral.